This 871-nucleotide ribosomal RNA is filed under the name uncultured bacterium. Its description in RNAcentral is "bacterial SSU rRNA". It matches the Rfam family "Bacterial small subunit ribosomal RNA", at positions 74 to 940 of the family's 1533-position model. The record is from RNAcentral.
GGGAGCUUGCUCCGCUGACGAGUGGCGAACGGGUGAGUAAUGUAUCGGAACGUACCAUUCAGUGGGGGAUAACGUAGCGAAAGUUACGCUAAUACCGCAUAUUCUGUGAGCAGGAAAGCAGGGGAUCGCAAGACCUUGCGCUGAUUGAGCGGCCGAUAUCAGAUUAGCUAGUUGGUGAGGUAAAAGCUCACCAAGGCGACGAUCUGUAGCGGGUCUGAGAGGAUGAUCCGCCACACUGGAACUGAGACACGGUCCAGACUCCUACGGGAGGCAGCAGUGGGGAAUUUUGGACAAUGGGGGCAACCCUGAUCCAGCCAUGCCGCGUGAGUGAAGAAGGCCUUCGGGUUGUAAAGCUCUUUCAGCCGGGAAGAAAAUGCAUGGGUUAAUACCCUGUGCAGAUGACGGUACCGGAAUAAGAAGCACCGGCUAACUACGUGCCAGCAGCCGCGGUAAUACGUAGGGUGCGAGCGUUAGUCGGAAUUACUGGGCGUAAAGCGUGCGCAGGCGGUUUUGUAAGACAGGCGUGAAAUCCCCGGGCUUAACCUGGGAACUGCGUUUGUGACUGCAAGGCUAGAGUACGGCAGAGGGGGGUGGAAUUCCACGUGUAGCAGUGAAAUGCGUAGAGAUGUGGAGGAACACCAAUGGCGAAGGCAGCCCCCUGGGUCGAUACUGACGCUCAUGCACGAAAGCGUGGGUAGCAAACAGGAUUAGAUACCCUGGUAGUCCACGCCCUAAACGAUGUCAACUAGGUGUUGGGAGGGUAAAACCUUUUAGUACCGUAGCUAACGCGAGAAGUUGACCGCCUGGGGAGUACGGCCGCAAGGUUAAAACUCAAAGGAAUUGACGGGGACCCGCACAAGCGGUGGAUGAU